UAAAAUGAGAGUUUGAUCCUGGCUCAGGACGAACGCUGGCGGCGUGCCUAAUACAUGCAAGUCGAACGAAACUUUCUUACACCGAAUGCUUGCAUUCACCGUAAGAAGUUGAGUGGCGGACGGGUGAGUAACACGUGGGUAACCUGCCUAAAAGAAGGGGAUAACACUUGGAAACAGGUGCUAAUACCGUAUAUCUCUAAGGAUCGCAUGAUCCUUAGAUGAAAGAUGGUUCUGCUAUCGCUUUUAGAUGGACCCGCGGCGUAUUAACUAGUUGGUGGGGUAACGGCCUACCAAGGUGAUGAUACGUAGCCGAACUGAGAGGUUGAUCGGCCACAUUGGGACUGAGACACGGCCCAAACUCCUACGGGAGGCAGCAGUAGGGAAUCUUCCACAAUGGACGCAAGUCUGAUGGAGCAACGCCGCGUGAGUGAAGAAGGUCUUCGGAUCGUAAAACUCUGUUGUUAGAGAAGAACACGAGUGAGAGUAACUGUUCAUUCGAUGACGGUAUCUAACCAGCAAGUCACGGCUAACUACGUGCCAGCAGCCGCGGUAAUACGUAGGUGGCAAGCGUUGUCCGGAUUUAUUGGGCGUAAAGGGAACGCAGGCGGUCUUUUAAGUCUGAUGUGAAAGCCUUCGGCUUAACCGGAGUAGUGCAUUGGAAACUGGAAGACUUGAGUGCAGAAGAGGAGAGUGGAACUCCAUGUGUAGCGGUGAAAUGCGUAGAUAUAUGGAAGAACACCAGUGGCGAAAGCGGCUCUCUGGUCUGUAACUGACGCUGAGGUUCGAAAGCGUGGGUAGCAAACAGGAUUAGAUACCCUGGUAGUCCACGCCGUAAACGAUGAAUGCUAGGUGUUGGAGGGUUUCCGCCCUUCAGUGCCGCAGCUAACGCAAUAAGCAUUCCGCCUGGGGAGUACGACCGCAAGGUUGAAACUCAAAGGAAUUGACCGGGCUCCGCACAAGCGUUGGAGCAUGUGGUUUAAUUCUAAGCAACGCGAAGAAUCUUAGCAGGUCUUGACAUCCUUUGACCACCUAAGAGAUUAGGCUUUCCUUCGGGGACAAAGUGACAGGUGGUGCAUGGCUGUCGUCAGCUCGUGUCGUGAGAUGUUGGGUUAAGUCCCGCAACGAGCGCAACCCUUGUUGUCAGUUGCCAGCAUUAAGUUGGGCACUCUGGCGAGACUGCCGGUGACAAACCGGAGGAAGGUGGGGACGACGUCAAGUCAUCAUGCCCCUUAUGACCUGGGCUACACACGUGCUACAAUGGACGGUACAACGAGUCGCAAGACCGCGAGGUUUAGCUAAUCUCUUAAAGCCGUUCUCAGUUCGGAUUGUAGGCUGCAACUCGCCUACAUGAAGUCGGAAUCGCUAGUAAUCGCGAAUCAGCAUGUCGCGGUGAAUACGUUCCCGGGCCUUGUACACACCGCCCGUCACACCAUGAGAGUUUGUAACACCCAAAGCCGGUGGGGUAACCGCAAGGAGCUAGCCGUCUAAGGUGGGACAGAUGAUUGGGGUGAAGUCGUAACAAGGUAGCCGUAGGAGAACCUGCGGCUGGAUCACCUCCUUU
RNAcentral lists this ribosomal RNA (1561 nucleotides) under Ligilactobacillus salivarius. RNAcentral describes it as "bacterial SSU rRNA". It matches the Rfam family "Bacterial small subunit ribosomal RNA". Lineage: Bacteria; Bacillati; Bacillota; Bacilli; Lactobacillales; Lactobacillaceae. The record is from RNAcentral.